GACGAACGCUGGCGGCGUGCUUAACACAUGCAAGUCGAACGGAAAGGCCCUGCUUUUGUUGGUUGCUCGAGUGGCGAACGGGUGUGUAACACGUGAGUAACCUGCCCUUGACUUUGGGAUAACUUCAGGAAACUCGGGCUAAUACCGCAUAGGAGCUCCUGCUGCAUGGUGUGGGUUGGAAAGUUUCGGCGGUUGUGGAUGGACUCGCGGCUUCUCCGCUUGUUGGUGGGGUAGUGGCUUACCAAGGCUUUGACGGGUAGCCGGCCUGAGAGGGUGACCGGCCACAAUGGGACUGAGAGACGGACCAGACUCCAACGGGAGGCAGCAGUGGGAAAUAUUGCACAAUGGGCGGAAGCCUGAUGCAGCAACGCCGCGUGCGGAAUGACGGCUUUCGGGUUGUAAACCGCUGUCGCCUGAGACGAAGCGUGAGUGACGGUAAUGGGUAAAGAAGCACCGGCUAACUACGUG
Molecule: ribosomal RNA, 468 nt
Filed under: uncultured bacterium
Lineage: Bacteria
Description: partial 16S ribosomal RNA
Rfam family: Bacterial small subunit ribosomal RNA
Source: RNAcentral